This 154-nucleotide small nuclear RNA is filed under the name Puma concolor (puma). Its description in RNAcentral is "U1 spliceosomal RNA". It matches the Rfam family "U1 spliceosomal RNA". From Rfam's summary of the family: U1 is a small nuclear RNA (snRNA) component of the spliceosome (involved in pre-mRNA splicing). Its 5' end forms complementary base pairs with the 5' splice junction, thus defining the 5' donor site of an intron. There are significant differences in sequence and secondary structure between metazoan and yeast U1 snRNAs, the latter being much longer (568 nucleotides as compared to 164 nucleotides in human). Lineage: Eukaryota; Metazoa; Chordata; Mammalia; Carnivora; Felidae. The record is from Rfam by way of RNAcentral. RNAcentral also lists the same sequence under 2 other names.
AUACUUACAUGGCAGAGGAGAUACCAUGAUCACAUGGUUCUCUCAAGGCAGAGGUCAUCCAAAGCACUCAGGUCUUUCUGACACCUGCAAUUUCCUCAAGCAGGGGAACUCAGCUGCACAAUUUCUGUUCGUGGGGAAUUUCGCACUGUCCCCC